Molecule: non-coding RNA, 70 nt
Organism: Megalops atlanticus (tarpon)
Lineage: Eukaryota; Metazoa; Chordata; Actinopteri; Elopiformes; Megalopidae
Source: the annotation of a GenBank genome assembly
AACAGUGUGGUGUAGUGGUGAGGUGUGGGGCUUGUAACCAAAAGGUUGCUGGUUCAAUUCCCCGCUGGGG